Molecule: long non-coding RNA, 1146 nt
Filed under: Homo sapiens (human)
Lineage: Eukaryota; Metazoa; Chordata; Mammalia; Primates; Hominidae
Description: HSALNT0074901
Source: RNAcentral
GCAAAGAUGAAAAAAGGGGCAGUAAUUAAAGUAAUAAUAUAUUUCAAAAUGCUACACAAAUAAUAAUGAAGGAGAACAAACAUUUAAAAUUUCCUUUAAAAGUGCCAGGUGUCAGGCCAUGAAAUAUAUAUAAACUUCAUCUUUGCAACCACCUAUUAUAUGCAUAGUUUUAUUUUACUGGUGAGUAAACGAAGGUUUGUAGAGUUUUGUUACUGCUCAAACAAUACAGUGUGAUAAGGGGUAGGCUAUGAUUUGAGCUGACGUUUUGCUUCCAAGGACACGGUCUUUCCACUCGUUGUUCCUGGUACCCCACCCCCUGCUCUCUAAAAUUUAAUUCUCUGAAAGAAAAGCAUCUGACUGGAAAACAGCAUUUUCUAUCAAGAGAUUUCCAUCAUCAGCUGGGAAUGUAUCAAUUGUGGGGAGCAUCUUCCUGAACCUUCAAAGCCUUUUCUCUGUCAGAAGAGAAAUCUCAACCUCAUCAGAAUCUAGGGUACUGGUUCCAUCUGCAAGUUUGACAUCUCAAUGUGAUUAGGUAGGUAGUCAAUUCUAAUUAACUCUCCUCUUCCAGCCAAUUCUGCCAAUACAUUGGUUCUAUUUUAAAAAUUCAGACAAUUCUUGUGGAAAAACAUCAUUCCAUCUCUCUCCAAAUACUUGUUACUUUGACUCUAAGACCUCAUCUUUAUUCUUAUCACAAAUUCCUCAGAAGAACGGUUAAAUUGAUUAUGCAUAAGAUGGUGACAAAGAAAUUUUGUUUACUUCAGAAUGGAAAUACAGACAUCAAAUAUAUGAACUCGUUGCUCUGGCUAACAUUGAAAAUCAGCACCAUACAAACUGUCAUAUGAUUUCAAUCUUAAUCCCAGGUGAGAUUGUGAGGAAGACAAAAUUUGCUUUUUAUGGCCCACUCCCUCCCUUCCCUCCACCUGCCACCUUGCCUUUAUAUCUCACCAACGAUGUUGUAUCUAACAUUCACAUUCAUUCUUUACUUCUUUCUUCCAAGACCUGGUUGCAGGGAAGAGUAUGGUAGACUCACUCAUGCUAAUGCCGUUGGAUCCCAGCUUGCCUCUUAUAGCUUCUUUCUCAGUUUCCCAUAUGUAGAUUCAUAAACAUGCUUGCUUCCCUCUCACCUUCCAUCCUUCUUUUAGGAUU